RNAcentral lists this ribosomal RNA (253 nucleotides) under uncultured bacterium. RNAcentral describes it as "partial 16S ribosomal RNA". It matches the Rfam family "Bacterial small subunit ribosomal RNA", at positions 524 to 776 of the family's 1533-position model. The record is from RNAcentral.
AACGUAGGUUCCGAGCGUUAUCCGGAUUUACUGGGCGUAAAGCGCGUCCAGGCGGUUUGGCAAGUCGGGCAUGAAAUCUCUCGGCUCAACCGGGAGAGGUUGUCCGAUACUGCUGGACUUGAGGGCAGUAGAGGGUGGUGGAAUUCCGGGUGUAGUGGUGAAAUGCGUAGAUAUCCGGAGGAACACCAGUGGCGAAAGCGGCCACCUGGACUGUACCUGACGCUGACACGCGAAAGCUAGGGGAGCGAACGGG